RNAcentral lists this unclassified non-coding RNA (327 nucleotides) under soil metagenome. RNAcentral describes it as "partial contains 5.8S ribosomal RNA, internal transcribed spacer 2, and large subunit ribosomal RNA". The stretch from base 1 to 120 matches the Rfam family "5.8S ribosomal RNA", at positions 35 to 154 of the family's 154-position model. The record is from RNAcentral.
GAUGAAGAACGCAGCGAAAUGCGAUAAGUAAUGUGAAUUGCAGAAUUCAGUGAAUCAUCGAAUCUUUGAACGCACAUUGCGCCCCUUGGUAUUCCGAGGGGCAUGCCUGUUCGAGCGUCAUUAUAACCCUCAAGCUCAGCUUGGUGUUGGGGCCUGCUGCACUGGCAGCCCUUAAAAUCAGUGGCGGCGCCAUCUGGCUCUAAGCGUAGUAAUUCUUCUCGCUAUGGAGUCCUGGUGGAUGCUUGCCAUCAACCCCCAAUUUUUCUAUGGUUGACCUCGGAUCAGGUAGGGAUACCCGCUGAACUUAAGCAUAUCAAUAACGGAGGA